Molecule: ribosomal RNA, 459 nt
Filed under: uncultured bacterium
Lineage: Bacteria
Description: partial 16S ribosomal RNA
Rfam family: Bacterial small subunit ribosomal RNA
Source: RNAcentral
CCUACGGGUGGCUGCAGUGAGGAAUAUUGGUCAAUGGGCGCGAGCCUGAACCAGCCAAGUCGCGUGAGGGAAGACGGUCCUAUGGAUUGUAAACCUCUUUUGUCGGGGAGCAAAAGACGCCACGCGUGGCGUUCCGAGAGUACCCGAAGAAAAAGCAUCGGCUAACUCCGUGCCAGCAGCCGCGGUAAUACGGAGGAUGCGAGCGUUAUCCGGAUUUAUUGGGUUUAAAGGGUUCGCAGGCGGAAGAUCAAGGCAGCGGUAAAAUUGAGAGGCACCACCUCUUCGAGCUGGUGAAACUGGUUUUCUUGAGUGAGCGAGAAGUAAGCGGAAUGUGUGGUGUAGCGGUGAAAUGCAUAGAUAUCACGCAGAACUCCGAUUGCGAAGGCAGCAUACUGGCGCUCAACUGACGCUCAUGCACGAAAGUGUGGGUAGCGAACAGGAUUAGAUACCCCUGUAGUC